ACGGGAGGCAGCAGUGGGGGAUAUUGCACAAUGGGGGGAAACCCUGAUGCAGCGACGCCGCGUGAGUGAAGAAGUAUUUCGGUAUGUAAAGCUCUAUCAGCAGGGAAGAUAAUGACGGUACCUGACUAAGAAGCACCGGCUAAAUACGUGCCAGCAGCCGCGGUAAUACGUAUGGUGCAAGCGUUAUCCGGAUUUACUGGGUGUAAAGGGUGCGUAGGUGGCAAGGCAAGUCUGAAGUGAAAGCUCGGGGCUCAACCCCGGAACUGCUUUGGAAACUGUUUAGCUAGAGUACAGGAGAGGUAAGUGGAAUUCCUAGUGUAGCGGUGAAAUGCGUAGAUAUUAGGAGGAACACCAGUGGCGAAGGCGACUUACUGGACUGCUACUGACACUGAGGCACGAAAGCGUGGGGAGCAAACAGGAUUAGAUACCCUGGUA
RNAcentral lists this ribosomal RNA (435 nucleotides) under uncultured Coprococcus sp. Its description in RNAcentral is "partial 16S ribosomal RNA". It matches the Rfam family "Bacterial small subunit ribosomal RNA", at positions 341 to 792 of the family's 1533-position model. The record is from RNAcentral. Lineage: Bacteria; Bacillati; Bacillota; Clostridia; Lachnospirales; Lachnospiraceae.